RNAcentral lists this unclassified non-coding RNA (433 nucleotides) under soil metagenome. Its description in RNAcentral is "partial contains 5.8S ribosomal RNA, internal transcribed spacer 2, and large subunit ribosomal RNA". The stretch from base 1 to 120 matches the Rfam family "5.8S ribosomal RNA", at positions 35 to 154 of the family's 154-position model. The record is from RNAcentral.
GAUGAAGAACGCAGCGAAAUGCGAUGCGUAAUGUGAAUUGCAGAAUUCAGUGAAUCAUCGAAUCUUUGAACGCAUAUUGCGCUCUCUGGUAUUCCGGAGAGCAUGCUUGUUUGAGUAUCAGUAAACACCUCAACUUCCAUAUCUUUUUUGAAAUGGGAGUUGGACUUGAGUGAUCCCAACGCUUUUCCUCACCGAAAAGUGGCGGGUUACUUGAAAUGCAGGUGCAGCUGGACUUUUCUCUGAGCUAUAAGCAUAUCUAUUUAGUCUGCCUAAAAAACAGAUUAUUACCUUUGCUGCAGCUAACAUAAAGGAGAUUAGUUCUUGUGCUGACUGAUGCAGGAUUCACAAAGACAGGCUUCGGCCGACUUUGUAAACUCGAUCUCAAAUCAAGUAAGACUACCCGCUGAACUUAAGCAUAUCAAUAAGCGGAGGA